Molecule: ribosomal RNA, 3273 nt
Filed under: Triticum aestivum (bread wheat)
Lineage: Eukaryota; Viridiplantae; Streptophyta; Magnoliopsida; Poales; Poaceae
Description: partial small subunit ribosomal RNA
Source: RNAcentral
AUGAGCACGUGGAACUACGUCGUCACGGCGCACAAGCCCACCAGCGUCAGCCACUCCUGCGUCGGCAACUUCACCGGCCCCCACCAGCUCAACCUCAUCGUCGCGAAAUGCACCCGCAUCGAGAUCCACCUGCUCACGCCGCAGGGCCUUCAGCCUAUGCUUGACGUGCCCAUAUAUGGGAGGAUCGCGACGAUCGAGCUCUUCCGGCCUCACAAUGAGGCCCAGGACUUCCUCUUCAUCGCCACGGAGAGGUACAAGUUCUGCGUCCUGCAGUGGGACGCAGAAAAAUCAGAGCUUCUCACCAGAUCCAUGGGAGAUGUUUCUGAUCGCAUUGGCCGCCCUACGGACAAUGGACAGAUUGGGAUCAUCGACCCUGACUGUAGACUUAUUGGCCUUCAUCUCUAUGAUGGAUUGUUUAAGGUUAUACCAUUCGACAACAAAGGACAGCUGAAGGAAGCUUUCAAUAUCAGACUAGAAGAACUUCAAGUAUUGGACAUCAAGUUCCUGUAUGGCUGUCUCAGACCUACGAUAGUUGUGCUCUACCAGGAUAACAAAGAUGCCAGGCAUGUUAAGACAUAUGAAGUUGCACUGAAGGAGAAAGACUUUGUUGAGGGUCCUUGGUCACAGAACAAUUUAGACAACGGAGCUGGUCUUUUAAUACCUGUACCAGCUCCACUCGGCGGUGUCAUAAUUAUUGGCGAGGAGACAAUAGUUUACUGCAAUGCUAAUUCUACAUUUAAAGCUAUACCAAUCAAACAGUCCAUCACAAGAGCUUAUGGAAGGGUUGACCCAGAUGGCUCUCGCUAUUUACUUGGUGAUAAUUCAGGCAUUUUGCAUUUACUUGUCCUUACCCAGGAACGAGAAAGGGUAACUGGUUUGAAAAUUGAGCAUUUGGGAGAGACUUCAGUUGCAUCGUCAAUAUCGUAUCUUGAUAAUGGUGUUGUCUAUGUUGGUUCUCGAUUUGGUGAUUCACAGCUGGUAAAGCUGAAUCUCCAACCUGAUGCAACUGGUUCAUUCGUCGAAAUCCUUGAACGGUAUGUGAAUCUUGGACCCAUUGUGGACUUCUGCGUGGUUGACCUUGAUAGGCAAGGGCAAGGUCAGGUGGUCACUUGUUCAGGAGCAUUCAAAGAUGGUUCCAUUCGAGUGGUUCGUAAUGGUAUAGGGAUUAAUGAGCAGGCUUCAGUAGAGCUGCAAGGCAUCAAGGGAUUAUGGUCACUGAAGUCUUCCUUCAGUGAUCUGUAUGACAUGUAUCUGGUGGUGAGCUUUAUAAGUGAGACUCGGUUCUUGGCUAUGAACAUGGAAGAUGAAUUAGAAGAAAUUGAGAUAGAAGGGUUUGAUGCACAAAUCCAGACUUUGUUCUGCCAAAAUGCCAUCAAUGAUAUGCUUAUACAGGUUACUGCUAAUUCUGUCCGGUUAGUCAGUUGCACUUCUCGGGAGCUAGUGGAUCAAUGGAAUGCACCAGAAGGAUUUUCAGUCAAUGUUGCAUCAGCUAAUGCCAGUCAGGUCCUGUUGGCGACCGGUGGUGGCCAUCUUGUUUACCUAGAGAUUAGGGAUGCUAAGCUGGUUGAAGUGAAACAUGCACAGCUAGAACAUGAGAUUUCUUGUGUUGAUUUGAACCCAGUAGGGGAGAAUCCACAGUAUAGCUCUCUGGCUGCUAUUGGGAUGUGGACUGAUAUAAGUGUCAGCAUAUUUUCACUUCCUGACCUUGAAUUAAUCAGGAAGGAAAAUUUAGGUGGAGAAAUUGUUCCUCGGUCAGUUCUGAUGUGUACCUUGGAAGGGAUUUCAUAUUUGCUUUGUGCUCUUGGAGAUGGUCACCUUUUCAGUUUUCUACUGAAUGCAAGCACAGGUGAACUAACCGAUAGAAAGAAGGUUUCUCUUGGUACCCAGCCAAUUAGCCUUCGUACAUUCUCAUCAAAGGGCACAACCCAUGUGUUUGCUUCGUCUGAUAGACCAACUGUUAUCUACAGUAGCAAUAAAAAGCUGCUGUACAGCAAUGUCAAUCUGAAAGAAGUUAAUCAUAUGUGUCCUUUCAAUACGGCUGCUUUUCCUGACAGCCUUGCAAUUGCUAAAGAAGGUGAACUUUCAAUUGGAACUAUUGAUGAUAUCCAGAAGCUUCAUAUCCGCACGAUUCCGUUGAAUGAACAAGCACGGCGCAUUUGCCAUCAGGAACAGUCCAGGACACUGGCGUUCUGCAGUUUUAAGUAUACCCAGAAUAGCAUGGAGGAGAGCGAGGCGCAUUUCAUUCGUCUGAUGGAUCAUCAAACAUUUGAGUUUCUGUCCACACAUCCUCUUGAUCAAUACGAAUGUGGUUGCUCCAUGAUUAGCUGCUCAUUCUCUGAUGAUAAUAACUUCUAUUACUGUGUGGGAACAGCAUAUGUUCUACCUGAGGAGAAUGAACCGACAAAGGGCCGGAUCCUUGUAUUUGCAGUUGAAGAUGGAAGGUUGCAAUUAAUUGUAGAGAAAGAAACAAAAGGAGCUGUCUAUUCCCUAAAUGCAUUCAAUGGGAAAUUGUUGGCAGCUAUCAACCAGAAGAUUCAGUUAUACAAGUGGAUGACGCGGGAGGAUGGUUCCCAUGAGUUGCAGUCUGAAUGUGGCCAUCAUGGGCACAUUCUCGCCCUGUAUACCCAAACCCGUGGUGAUUUCAUCGUAGUCGGAGACCUGAUGAAAUCGAUAUCCUUGCUUGUGUACAAGCAUGAGGAGAGUGCGAUUGAAGAGCUCGCUAGGGACUACAAUGCGAACUGGAUGACUGCAGUUGAGAUGAUUGACGAUGACAUCUAUGUUGGUGCAGAGAACAGCUACAACCUUUUCACUGUGCGCAAGAACAGCGACGCGGCCACAGACGAGGAGAGGGGCAGGCUGGAGGUAGUCGGGGAGUACCACCUCGGAGAGUUUGUGAACAGGUUCCGGCAUGGCUCGCUGGUGAUGCGCCUCCCCGACUCUGAGAUGGGCCAGAUCCCCACGGUCAUCUUUGGCACCAUCAACGGGGUCAUUGGCAUCAUCGCCUCCCUGCCCCACGACCACUAUGUGUUCCUGGAGAAGCUCCAGACAACCCUGGUCAAGUUCAUCAAGGGUGUGGGCAGCCUGAGCCACGAGCAGUGGCGGUCGUUCCACAACGACAAGAAGACGUCGGAGGCUCGCAACUUCUUGGACGGCGACCUGAUCGAGUCGUUCCUCGACCUCAACAGGUCCAAGAUGGAGGAGGUGGCCAAGGCCAUGGCAGUCCCUGUUGAGGAGCUGUCCAAGCGGGUAGAGGAGCUGAUGAGACUGCACUAG